GGGCGGUUAGCUCAGCUGGUUAGAGCACUUGCCUUACAAGCAAGGGGUCGCAGGUUCGAAUCCUGCACUGCCCACCA
This 77-nucleotide transfer RNA is filed under the name Silvibacterium dinghuense. RNAcentral describes it as "tRNA-Val". It matches the Rfam family "tRNA". Rfam says of the family: Transfer RNA (tRNA) molecules are approximately 80 nucleotides in length. Their secondary structure includes four short double-helical elements and three loops (D, anti-codon, and T loops). Further hydrogen bonds mediate the characteristic L-shaped molecular structure. tRNAs have two regions of fundamental functional importance: the anti-codon, which is responsible for specific mRNA codon recognition, and the 3' end, to which the tRNAs corresponding amino acid is attached (by aminoacyl-tRNA synthetases). tRNAs cope with the degeneracy of the genetic code in two manners: having more than one tRNA (with a specific anti-codon) for a particular amino acid; and 'wobble' base-pairing, i.e. permitting non-standard base-pairing at the 3rd anti-codon position. The record is from RNAcentral. Lineage: Bacteria; Pseudomonadati; Acidobacteriota; Terriglobia; Terriglobales; Acidobacteriaceae.